Small nuclear RNA from Rhinolophus ferrumequinum (greater horseshoe bat), 182 nucleotides. Its record names the gene U2. It matches the Rfam family "U2 spliceosomal RNA". From Rfam's summary of the family: U2 is a small nuclear RNA (snRNA) component of the spliceosome (involved in pre-mRNA splicing). Complementary binding between U2 snRNA (in an area lying towards the 5' end but 3' to hairpin I) and the branchpoint sequence (BPS) of the intron results the bulging out of an unpaired adenosine, on the BPS, which initiates a nucleophilic attack at the intronic 5' splice site, thus starting the first of two transesterification reactions that mediate splicing. The record is from Ensembl. Lineage: Eukaryota; Metazoa; Chordata; Mammalia; Chiroptera; Rhinolophidae.
AUCACUUGGCCUUUUGGCUAAGGACAAGUGUACUAUCUGUUCUUAUUAGCUUAAUAUCUGAUAUGUCCUCUAUCCAAGGUCAGUAUGUUCAUGGAUGGACCGAGAGGGUAUUAUGCUAAGUGAAAUAAGUCAGAGUAAGACAAAUACCAUAUGAUUUCACUUUUAUGUGGAAUCUAAAAAAC